UGGGGAAUAUUGCACAAUGGGCGCAAGCCUGAUGCAGCCAUGCCGCGUGUGUGAAGAAGGCCUUCGGGUUGUAAAGCACUUUCAGCGAGGAGGAAGGUGGUGAGCUUAAUACGCUCAUCAAUUGACGUUACUCGCAGAAGAAGCACCGGCUAACUCCGUGCCAGCAGCCGCGGUAAUACGGAGGAUGCAAGCGUUAAUCGGAAUUACUGGGCGUAAAGCGCACGCAGGCGGUUUGUUAAGUCAGAUGUGAAAUCCCCGGGCUCAACCUGGGAACUGCAUUUGAAACUGGCAAGCUAGAGUCUCGUAGAGGGGGGUAGAAUUCCAGGUGUAGCGGUGAAAUGCGUAGAGAUCUGGAGGAAUACCGGUGGCGAAGGCGGCCCCCUGGACGAAGACUGACGCUCAGGUGCGAAAGCGUGGGGCAGCAAACAGGAUUAGAUACCCUGGUAGUCCAGCGCUGUAAACGAUGUCGAUUUUGGAGGUUGUGCCCUUGAGGCGUGGCUUCCGGAGCUAACGCGUUAAAUCGACCGCCUGGGGAGUACGGCCGCAAGGUUAAAACUUAAAUGAAUUGACGGGGUC
This 576-nucleotide ribosomal RNA is filed under the name uncultured bacterium. Its description in RNAcentral is "partial 16S ribosomal RNA". It matches the Rfam family "Bacterial small subunit ribosomal RNA", at positions 355 to 920 of the family's 1533-position model. The record is from RNAcentral.